GACGAACGCUGGCGGCGUGCCUAAUACAUGCAAGUAGAACGCCGUUGCGAACGGGUGAGUAACGCGUAGGUAACUGCCUCAUAGCGGGGGAUAACUAUUGGAAACGAUUGCUAAUACCGCAUACUGUGAGAUGGACCUGCGUUGUAUUAGCUAGUUGGUGGGGCAAAGGCUCACCAAGGCGACGAUACAUAGCCGACCUGAGAGGGGAGACAGCCAAACUGGGACUGAGACACGGGCCCGAAGCCUACGGGGAGCAGGAGGAGGGGAACUUCGGCAAAUGAGGGAAGUCUGGACGAACAACGGCGGGGGGGUGGAGGAGGGUUUCGGAGCGUAAAGCUCUGUUGAUAGAGAAGCGGUAACUAACCAGAAAGGGACGGCUAACUACGUGCCAGCAGCCGCGGUAAUUC
This 407-nucleotide ribosomal RNA is filed under the name uncultured bacterium. RNAcentral describes it as "partial 16S ribosomal RNA". It matches the Rfam family "Bacterial small subunit ribosomal RNA", at positions 28 to 526 of the family's 1533-position model. The record is from RNAcentral.